ACCUUCACAUUCCCUAUUUGUCUUUGUGCAGUUCAAACAAAAAGGUUUGGUUUCGUCGCACUUGAUCCUGCGACGGCGACAUGUUAAACAUCCAGUUUUCGUUCUUCUUUUUGUGGGCUUGGGCGUAGGCUCGACGUUUGGGUUGGGAAUAUAUAGCGGAUUUGAAUUAAUACUACCCGUUCUAUUCCGUUUCAUAUGAAUUUCGGGAUAAGAAACAUACGGGUUCAUAACUGCAAGGGAAACAAUAGAUAGAAAAAAAAAGAAUAACAAGAUAAUAGGAACUAAACAAAUCAAAAGUAAAGAAAGCCCGAUUUGAAAACGCUACGCUGCUUGAGAAAAGCGCGCAAAGAAAAAACGCAAGCACAGAACAUGAAAUUGGAAGCCGAUUUAUACAAA
Schizosaccharomyces pombe (fission yeast) is the source of this 396-nucleotide non-coding RNA. NCBI's taxonomy places the organism in Eukaryota, Fungi, Ascomycota, Schizosaccharomycetes, Schizosaccharomycetales, Schizosaccharomycetaceae. The record is from the annotation of a GenBank genome assembly.